AUUGAACGCUGGCGGCAUGCCUUACACAUGCAAGUCGAACGGCAGCAUGAUCUAGCUUGCUCGAUUGAUGGCGAGUGGCGAACGGGUGAGUAAUACAUCGGAACGUGCCCUGUAGUGGGGGAUAACUAGUCGAAAGAUUAGCUAAUACCGCAUACGACCUGAGGGUGAAAGUGGGGGACCGCAAGGCCUCAUGCUAUAGGAGCGGCCGAUGUCUGAUUAGCUAGUUGGUGAGGUAAAGGCUCACCAAGGCGACGAUCAGUAGCUGGUCUGAGAGGACGAUCAGCCACACUGGGACUGAGACACGGCCCAGACUCCUACGGGAGGCAGCAGUGGGGAAUUUUGGACAAUGGGCGAAAGCCUGAUCCAGCAAUGCCGCGUGUGUGAAGAAGGCCUUCGGGUUGUAAAGCACUUUUGUCCGGAAAGAAGUGGCUCUGGUUAAUACCUGGGGUCGAUGACGGUACCGGUAGAAUAAGGACCGGCUAACUACGUG
Molecule: ribosomal RNA, 490 nt
Filed under: uncultured bacterium
Lineage: Bacteria
Description: partial 16S ribosomal RNA
Rfam family: Bacterial small subunit ribosomal RNA
Source: RNAcentral